Molecule: ribosomal RNA, 461 nt
Filed under: uncultured bacterium
Lineage: Bacteria
Description: bacterial SSU rRNA
Rfam family: Bacterial small subunit ribosomal RNA
Source: RNAcentral
GUACGGGAGGCAGCAGUGAGGAAUAUUAGUCAAUGGAGGGAACUCUGAACCAGCCAUGCCGCGUGAAGGAAGAAGGCGCUACGCGUUGUAAACUUCUUUUGGGUGGGACGAAAAUAAUCCAUUUAUGGAUAGCUGACGGUACCAUCAGAAUAAGCACCGGCUAACUCCGUGCCAGCAGCCGCGGUAAUACGGAGGGUGCGAGCGUUAUCCGGAAUCACUGGGUUUAAAGGGUGCGUAGGUGGCUUAAUAAGUCAGCUGUGAAAUGUCUGGGCUUAACCGAGGCAUUGCGGUUGAUACUGUUAGGCUUGAAUCAAGUUGAGGUGGCUAGAAUGUGACAUGUAGCGGUGAAAUGCAUAGAUAUGUCAUAGAAUACCAAUUGCGAAGGCAGGUUGCUAGACUUUGAUUGACACUGAGGCACGAAAGCGUGGGGAUCAAACAGGAUUAGAUACCCUUGUAGUCCC